UGUGUAGGUGGUUGGAUAAGUUAGAUGUGAAAUCCCUGGGCUUAACCUGGGAACUGCGUUUAAAACUGUUCAGCUAGAGUACUGUAGAGGAUAGUGGAAUUUCCAGUGUAGCGGUGAAAUGCGUAGAUAUUGGAAGGAACACCAGUGGCGAAGGCGACUAUCUGGACAGAUACUGACACUGAGACACGAAAGCUGGGGAGCAAACA
Molecule: ribosomal RNA, 206 nt
Filed under: uncultured bacterium
Lineage: Bacteria
Description: partial 16S ribosomal RNA
Rfam family: Bacterial small subunit ribosomal RNA
Source: RNAcentral